CUAAUUGUGUCAGUAGCUGGAUAAUUGAACGUAUUAAAACUUAAGAAAAAUGAGCACAAGAUCAUCCACUACAAUACCACACCACUCCCAAAAAGGUGUUGCCUCAGCAGCAUCAGUGUGGCUAUGUCCAAGCAAUAGAUUUUUUGACUACUAAUUGUGUCAGUAGCUUGAUAAUUGAACGUAUUAAAACUUAAGAAAAAUGAGCACAAGAUCAUCCACUACAAUACCACACCACUCCCAAAAAGGUGUUGCCUCAGCAGCAUCAGUGUGGCUAUGUCCAAGCAAUAGAUUUUUUUUGACUACUAAUUGUGUCAGCACCCCAAAGCUUGGGAUAAUGCCAUAAAAAACGCAACGGUUCCGAUGGUUCCAAAGAGUCCACGCC
Molecule: long non-coding RNA, 382 nt
Filed under: Sorghum bicolor (sorghum)
Lineage: Eukaryota; Viridiplantae; Streptophyta; Magnoliopsida; Poales; Poaceae
Description: long non-coding RNA (SBIC_LNC000933)
Source: RNAcentral